GAAAUGCGAUACUUGGUGUGAAUUGCAGAAUCCCGUGAACCAUCGAGUCUUUGAACGCAAGUUGCGCCCGAAGCCUUUACGGCCUUGUAGGACCCUGAGUGUCCCCUUUAGGAGACAAACCGUUGCGACCCCAGGUCAGGCGGGGCUACCCGCUGAGUUUAA
RNAcentral lists this unclassified non-coding RNA (162 nucleotides) under uncultured fungus. RNAcentral's name for it is "sequence contains ITS1". The stretch from base 1 to 104 matches the Rfam family "5.8S ribosomal RNA", at positions 50 to 154 of the family's 154-position model. Rfam says of the family: 5.8S ribosomal RNA (5.8S rRNA) is a component of the large subunit of the eukaryotic ribosome. It is transcribed by RNA polymerase I as part of the 45S precursor that also contains 18S and 28S rRNA. Lineage: Eukaryota; Fungi. The record is from RNAcentral.